ACAGCAGCAGCCACGGGAAUACAGAGGGUGCGAGCGUUAAUCGGAUUUACUGGGCGUAAAGCGUGCGUAGGCGGCUUUUUAAGUCGGAUGUGAAAUCCCUGAGCUUAACUUAGGAAUUGCAUUCGAUACUGGGAAGCUAGAGUAUGGGAGAGGAUGGUAGAAUUCCAGGUGUAGCGGUGAAAUGCGUAGAGAUCUGGAGGAAUACCGAUGGCGAAGGCAGCCAUCUGGCCUAAUACUGACGCUGAGGUACGAAAGCAUGGGGAGCAAACAGGAUUAGAUACCCGUGUAGUCCCUGUCUCUUAUAC
This 305-nucleotide ribosomal RNA is filed under the name uncultured bacterium. Its description in RNAcentral is "partial 16S ribosomal RNA". It matches the Rfam family "Bacterial small subunit ribosomal RNA", at positions 506 to 807 of the family's 1533-position model. The record is from RNAcentral.